RNAcentral lists this ribosomal RNA (499 nucleotides) under Paenibacillus sp. LIPOA/UEL_88. Its description in RNAcentral is "bacterial SSU rRNA". It matches the Rfam family "Bacterial small subunit ribosomal RNA", at positions 954 to 1446 of the family's 1533-position model. The record is from RNAcentral. Lineage: Bacteria; Bacillati; Bacillota; Bacilli; Caryophanales; Paenibacillaceae.
AAGCAACGCGAAGAACCUUACCAGGUCUUGACAUCCAACUAACGAAGCAGAGAUGCAUUAGGUGCCCUUCGGGGAAAGUUGAGACAGGUGGUGCAUGGUUGUCGUCAGCUCGUGUCGUGAGAUGUUGGGUUAAGUCCCGCAACGAGCGCAACCCUUGACUUUAGUUGCCAGCAGGUUGUGCUGGGCACUCUAGAGUGACUGCCGGUGACAAACCGGAGGAAGGUGGGGAUGACGUCAAAUCAUCAUGCCCCUUAUGACCUGGGCUACACACGUACUACAAUGGCCGGUACAACGGGAAGCGAAGCCGCGAGGUGGAGCCAAUCCCAGCAAAGCCGGUCUCAGUUCGGAUUGCAGGCUGCAACUCGCCUGCAUGAAGUCGGAAUUGCUAGUAAUCGCGGAUCAGCAUGCCGCGGUGAAUACGUUCCCGGGUCUUGUACACACCGCCCGUCACACCACGAGAGUUUACAACACCCGAAGUCGGUGGGGUAACCCGCAAGGG